AUGAACGCUGGCGGCGUGCCUAACACAUGCAAGUCGAACGGAGUCGUCUUGGAAAUCUCUUCGGAGAUGGAAUUCUCGACUAAGUGGCGGACGGGUGAGUAACGCGUGAGCAAUCUGCCUUUAAGAGGGGGAUAACAGUCGGAAACGGCUGCUAAUACCGCAUAAAGCAUUAAAUUCGCAUGUUUUUGAUGCCAAAGGAGCAAUCCGCUUUUAGAUGAGCUCGCGUCUGAUUAGCUAGUAGGCGGGGUAACGGCCCACCAAGGCGACGAUCAGUAGCCGGACUGAGAGGUUGAACGGCCACAUGAGUACUGAGGCACGGCCCAGACUCCUACGGGAGGCAGCAGUGGGGAAUAUUGCGCAAUGGGGGAAACCCUGACGCAGCAACGCCGCGUGAUUAAAGAAGGCCUUCGGGUUGUAAAGAUCUUUAAUCAGAAACGAAACAAAUGACGGUACCUGAAGAAUAAGCUCCGGCUAACUACGUG
RNAcentral lists this ribosomal RNA (482 nucleotides) under uncultured bacterium. Its description in RNAcentral is "partial 16S ribosomal RNA". It matches the Rfam family "Bacterial small subunit ribosomal RNA", at positions 29 to 507 of the family's 1533-position model. The record is from RNAcentral.